This 850-nucleotide ribosomal RNA is filed under the name Streptomyces brevispora. Its description in RNAcentral is "bacterial SSU rRNA". It matches the Rfam family "Bacterial small subunit ribosomal RNA", at positions 122 to 978 of the family's 1533-position model. The record is from RNAcentral. Lineage: Bacteria; Bacillati; Actinomycetota; Actinomycetes; Kitasatosporales; Streptomycetaceae.
CAAUCUGCCCUUCACUCUGGGACAAGCCCUGGAAACGGGGUCUAAUACCGGAUAAUACUUUCUCUCUCCUGGGGGAAGGUUGAAAGCUCCGGCGGUGAAGGAUGAGCCCGCGGCCCUAUCAUCUAGUUGGUGGGGUAAUGGCCUACCAAGAGCGCACGCACGGGCUAGCCGGCCUGAGAGGGCGACCGGCCACACUGGGACUGAGACACGGCCCAGACUCCUACGGGAGGCAGCAGUGGGGAAUAUUGCACAAUGGGCGAAAGCCUGAUGCACCGACGCCGCGUGAGGGAUGACGGCCUUCGGGUUGUAAACCUCUCUUCAUCAGGGAAGAAGCGAAAGUGACGGUACCUGCACAAGAAGCGCCGGCUAACUACGUGCCAGCAGCCGCGGUAAUACGUAGGGCGCACGCGUUGUCCGGAAUUAUUGGGCGUAAAGAGCUCGUAUGCGGCUUGUUGCGUCGGUUGUGAAAGCCCGGGGCUUAACCCCGGGUCUGCAGUCGAUACGGGCAGGCUAGAGUGUGGUAGGGGAGAUCGGAAUUCCUGGUGUAGCGGUGAAAUGCGCAGAUAUCAGGAGGAACACCGGUGGCGAAGGCGGAUCUCUGGGCCAUUACUGACGCUGAGGAGCGAAAGCGUGGGGAGCGAACAGGAUUAGAUACCCUGGUAGUCCACGCCGUAAACGUUGGGAACUAGGUGUUGGCGACAUUCCACGUCGUCGGUGCCGCAGCUAACGCAUUAAGUUCCCCGCCUGGGGAGUACGGCCGCAAGGCUAAAACUCAGACGAAUUGACGGGGGCCCGCACAAUCAGCGGAGCAUGUGGCUUAAUUCGACGCAACGCGAAGAACCUUACCAAG